Long non-coding RNA from Daucus carota subsp. sativus, 3072 nucleotides. RefSeq lists it as uncharacterized. The transcript has 4 exons. The record is from RefSeq and is a predicted model, not a curated record. Lineage: Eukaryota; Viridiplantae; Streptophyta; Magnoliopsida; Apiales; Apiaceae.
CACCUUCCAUCCUUGCAGAAAACACGCAUUACAUUAUUAAUAUUGAGAUACAAUUUGGAAAAUACAUAUUUUGUCAGAUGGAAACUUACUACGGGGACUGCAGGAUAUAGCCUCAAGGUCUCAGACAACGCGGCAUGGAGCUUCAAAGCCAAUGUUAAGAAGUCGCUGUACCUUCCAAGUUGGAUCUAUAUAGCGCCAAUGUAUCAGGGAAGUUGCAUCAUCAAACGCCUUAAUAAAUGAGGAUCCAGCAGCAUCGGAUUCCAUGGUGUUAAGAUCUGUUCCAAACCCAACUUCAAAGAUUGAAUCUAAAGAGUAUCGCAUUAGCAACUCCUGCAAUAUAUAAAUUAAAGCUAAAGUCUCUCAACAUCCGCGUGGAGAACUCAACACUAGCAAGCUUCCUCUGUUGCCUCCAGUUAGCACCAUUAACAACAAAUAUGCCUUGUCCAAGCAAAUCAUUUGUUAUUCCUUCAAGCAGCCGGAAGGUUUGGUGCUUUCCAGCAACUUCUGUCAAGUAGUCGUAGAUUCUGUUGAAAUUGAUCAGUAGGCUUAGCACAGUGCCAGCCACUGGAGGGUAAUUUGAAUUUCUUAUUGAUUUUGCAGUGAAGAUCUUCACUAGUAAAGCAAAGAAGCAUAUGAGAAGCAGUAGUGGUACAGUUGCAAUAACUGUGAAGAUUGCAUAGAGAAAGUCCAUUCCUUUGGAAGUUAAGAAAUGAGAGUAUUAUUCGAGUAAAAAUUUUCACUAGCCAUAAAUAUAGAAGUUGAAGUUUCAAGGUCUUUAAGAUAUUUUUAAAAUAUUAAAAAAAUACUUCACACACUACGAUCUUCUCGUCUGUCCGUUAUCUCACAUGUUCCAAAUAUAUGAUACUUAAUAAUUUUUAAAGAGAAGUAAGAGCCACCACAUAAACUAUGAUUUCUUGUCAAUCGGCCUUAUCAAAUGAUCGAUACGUAAUAUAAGUUGUAUUGAAAGGGUAAUUAUCUACUUGUCUAGCCGUUAAUAUAUCUUCACGUAUCUUCAUAUUUUGGUAUUUAACACUUUUGUUGUAUUUGGUUCGGGUGAAUGGAAUGAAGUGAGUAAAAUUAAAAAAAAAUAAUAGAGUGUAGAAGAAAGGACUUUGUAAAAAAAUCAGUGGGUGUAAAUUUUGUAUGAUAAGAUUUGGGUAGAAAAAAAUAUGAUAAGGAAUGGAGCAUUCUUUCACAAAAUGAAGGAUUUGAGCUGUAGUUAAGAGUGAUAGGAAUGAGGAAAAAAAUGAAAUUAUUAUACAUUCAAUUAAAAUAUAUUGUAGUUCAAAUCUCAUUCACCCCAACCAAAUAUGACAUUUGUGUAUGAUACGGUUGGUCUUUAGUGAUCUGUGCUAUACGGCCACACAGUGAAUUUGAUAAUUUUAAGAUCGUACGCGAUUAUGACUCGAUAGUUACACCAAAGAUUCCAUAUUAUUUUGUAGACAUUAUUGCUAUCGUUCACUACUUUGCUCCUUUCGCAUUGGAAACUUUAGCUAUACUUUAUUUCUUCCGAAAAUUACCAGUUACAUUCUUUAUACAUGAGCUUUCAGACUGAUUAACACAUUAAACUUAGGUAUGAACAUCAACGUUCAUUUCAGGUGUCUUGAUCAACUUAAUCGAUAAGUAAUGUCAUAAGGGAUGGUGACUGGCGCGGAAAAGAUGAUACGACAACCUUUCCUCUGGCUCUUCCGGUUUCUAGAUAUCCGAAAGCUUGUGGUACGUCGGAGAAAUGAAAAGGUCCUGCAGGAUCAAUCACGGCCUUGAGGACUCCACUUUCUAAAUAUGGUCGAAGCUUUUCCAAAAUUUCUCCAGAGACUGUCAGACCAGAAUGAAUUGCUCUUGGAUUCGAAGGAGGCCAUGUUAUGUCAAUUAUUGGUGCGUGAUCCUCAGCUACAAUACUUGAAUUCUUCGAGUCACCUGAAAUACAGAAAUUUAAUUCAAAGUACCUUGAAGGUGUUGGAGAUGAAAAAGACUAAGUUCAGAAAAUUUACCAACGGUAUCAUAUACUAAAUCAUACUUCUCCUUGAUGUCCUCGUAUCGAGUCUUGGUGUAGUCUACAACCGUAUCAGCACCUAAGCUCUUUACAAACUUGAGUUUUGCAGUACUAGUUGUUGCCACAACCUUAGAAGCUCCAAACAAGUACUUGGCCAAUUGAACAACCAAUGUUCCGACUCCACCAGCUCCCCCAACUACAAAAACUGACUGUCCCUCCUUAAAACCCGCGGUUCUGAACCCCUGAAUUGCUGUUUGAACUGCCACUGGUAAACUGGCCGCCUCCUCAAAUGAGAGGUUUUUCGGCUUCAAAGCCACCAGAUGCUCCUCCACGACGAUGAAUUCAGCUAAAGUCCCAAGCUGUUUAACUUCAUCUGCACAGAAGUCCUGAAUGUUACCAUAUACCUCAUCACCUAUUUUGAACUCCAAAACGCUGUCGCCUUUUUUUGUCACAACACCAGCCAUGUCACAGCCCGGGAUCAUCUGCAUCAACUUAAUUAGUACGCAUAAUGAAACUGUAUUACUAUCUACAAUAACAGGCAUUAUCAUGGUGUUUUCUAUCUUUUAAUCUGAAUUCAUAAAAUAAAAUGUUUACAAAUGGUUUGGUAUUAAUUAGCGCUAAUACUGAUUUUUACUAACAGGAAAACAUGCAGGAACAAUGGGUCGUUGGCGCAUCUUAGAGUCAAUAGGAUUUAAAGCUGCAGCGCGAACUUGAACAAGUAACUGAUUGUGCUUGAGACGAGGAACUGCAAUCUCUCUUAGCUCAAGUACUUCCUUUGGGCCAUGUUCUUCAUAAAUCCAAGCUUUCUGCAUUUUUGUUUAAAUUGAAAUUUCCAAAUUCCUACACAAAGAGGUAGCUUGCUAUGGAGUUUAUCAAAUGUAACAAGGAAGAAACUUAUAUAGCAGGCAACUUAGUGUUUUGAGUGAGUUCAUCAACAAGAUUACAAAUGGUUUUCAAUAAUGCAUGCAUUAUUUAGAGAAUGUGAAUUCUUUUAAGAGUUUUUUUAAAGUAUCCUACCUUAUGUUAAUGUUAAUUGUAUGGUGAUGUUAUUGAUCUAUUGGAAGUUUGGAACUAGUCCA